AUUGAACGCUGGCGGCAGGCCUAACACAUGCAAGUCGAACGAGUGGCGGACGGGUGAGUCAUGUCUGGGAAACUGCCUGAUGGAGGGGGAACACUACUGGAACCGGUAGCUAAUACCGCAUACCAUCGGAUGUGCCCAGAUGGGAUUAGCUAGUAGGUGGGGUAAAGGUGCACCUAGGCGACGAUCCCUAGCUGGUCUGAGAGGAUGGCCAGCCACACUGUAACUGAGACACGGUCCAGACUCCUACGGGAGGCAGCAGUGGGGAAUAUUGCACAAUGGGCGCAAGCCUGAUGCAGCCAUGCCGCGUGUAUGAAGAAGGCCUUCGGGUUGUAAAGUACUUUCAGCGGGGAGGCGUUACCCGCAGAAGAAGCACCGGCUAACUCCGUGCCAGCAGCCGCGGUAAUUC
Molecule: ribosomal RNA, 406 nt
Filed under: uncultured bacterium
Lineage: Bacteria
Description: partial 16S ribosomal RNA
Rfam family: Bacterial small subunit ribosomal RNA
Source: RNAcentral